UACGGAGGGUGCGAGCGUUGUCCGGAAUUAUUGGGCGUAAAGAGCUCGUAGGCGGUGUGUCGCGUCGGUCGUGAAAACUUGGGGCUUAACCCUGAGCUUGCGGUCGAUACGGGCAUCACUGGAGUUCGGCAGGGGAGACUGGAAUUCCUGGUGUAGCGGUGAAAUGCGCAGAUAUCAGGAGGAACACCGGUGGCGAAGGCGGGUCUCUGGGCCGAUACUGACGCUGAGGAGCGAAAGCGUGGGGAGCGAACAGG
Molecule: ribosomal RNA, 254 nt
Filed under: uncultured bacterium
Lineage: Bacteria
Description: partial 16S ribosomal RNA
Rfam family: Bacterial small subunit ribosomal RNA
Source: RNAcentral